CUCUUCGAUGUUCUGGGCUGCACGCGCGCUACAGUGGCAAAGACAGAGAGCAUGAAUUAAUUAUAGAGUCGCAUCGAGGGAUGUGACGAAUCAGCAAUCGUUGUCGUGAUUGGGAUUGAGCGUUGUAAUAUUUGCUCAUGAAAGAGGAAUUCCUCGUAAGCGCGAGUCACUAACUCGUGUUAAUUACGUCUCUGCCCUUUGUACACACCGCCCGUCGCUACUACCGAUUGAACUGGUUUUUGAAGUGUAGAGAUUGGCAGGCAUGGUUUACGUGCAUUGCAAAGAACCACUCUGAAGAAAUCGUUCGAGAAGAAGUAAAAGUCGUAACA
This 329-nucleotide ribosomal RNA is filed under the name uncultured eukaryote. Its description in RNAcentral is "partial 18S ribosomal RNA". It matches the Rfam family "Eukaryotic small subunit ribosomal RNA", at positions 1470 to 1796 of the family's 1831-position model. The record is from RNAcentral.